This 466-nucleotide ribosomal RNA is filed under the name uncultured bacterium. Its description in RNAcentral is "partial 16S ribosomal RNA". It matches the Rfam family "Bacterial small subunit ribosomal RNA", at positions 28 to 505 of the family's 1533-position model. The record is from RNAcentral.
GACGAACGCUGGCGGCGUGCUUAACACAUGCAAGUCGAACGGAAAGGCCCUGCUUUUGUGGGGUGCUCGAGUGGCGAACGGGUGAGUAACACGUGAGUAACCUGCCCUUGACUUUGGGAUAACUUCAGGAAACUGGGGCUAAUACCGGAUAGGAGCUCCUGCUGCAUGGUGGGGGUUGGAAAGUUUCGGCGGUUGGGGAUGGACUCGCGGCUUAUCAGCUUGUUGGUGGGGUAGUGGCUUACCAAGGCUUUGACGGGUAGCCGGCCUGAGAGGGUGACCGGCAAAGUGGGGACGGGGAGACGCCCAAGCCUCCGGGGGGGGGAGGGGGGGGGAAUUAUGGAACAUGGGGGGGAGGCUUGAUGAGGCACCGCGGGGGGGGGGAGGGCGGCUUUGGGGUUGAAAACGGUUUGCGCUUGUGACGAGGGUGGGGUGAUGGGAUGGGGAAAAGAACCACCGCCUAACUACG